UGGUGAACCAGCGGAGGGAUCAUUACCGAGUUUACAACUCCCAAACCCCUGUGAACAUACCUUAACGUUGCUUCGGCGGACCACCCUCGCCUUAACCGGCGGGGGCCCGCCAGAGGACCCAAACCCAAACUUUGUGUUUUUUGUCUUGCAGAACGAACUUCUGAGUGGAUUUUAUAAAUCAAAUCAAAACUUUCAACAACGGAUCUCUUGGCUCUGG
RNAcentral lists this unclassified non-coding RNA (217 nucleotides) under uncultured fungus. Its description in RNAcentral is "partial contains 18S rRNA, ITS1 and 5.8S rRNA". The record is from RNAcentral. Lineage: Eukaryota; Fungi.